Molecule: ribosomal RNA, 465 nt
Filed under: uncultured bacterium
Lineage: Bacteria
Description: bacterial SSU rRNA
Rfam family: Bacterial small subunit ribosomal RNA
Source: RNAcentral
CCUACGGGAGGCAGCAGUGGGGAAUAUCGCACAAUGGGCGCAAGCCUGAUGCAGCCAUGCCGCGUGUAUGAAGAAGGCCUUCGGGUUGUAGAGUACUUUCAGCGAGGAGGAAGGCAUCAAGGUUAAUAACCUUGGUGAUUGACGUUACUCGCAGAAGAAGCACCGGCUAACUCCGUGCCAGCAGCCGCGGUAAUACGGAGGGUGCAAGCGUUAAUCGGAAUUACUGGGCGUAAAGCGCACGCAGGCGGUCUGUCAAGUCGGAUGUGAAAUCCCCGGGCUCAACCUGGGAACUGCAUUCGAAACUGGCAGGCUAGAGUCUUGUAGAGGGGGGUAGAAUCCCAGGUGUAGCGGUGAAAUGCGUAGAGAUCUGGAGGAAUACCGGUGGCGAAGGCGGCCCCCUGGACAAAGACUGACGCUCAGGUGCGAAAGCGUGGGGAGCAAACAGGAUUAGAUACCCGUGUAGUC